AGUGAACGCUGGCGGUAGGCCUAACACAUGCAAGUCGAACGGCAGAACAGUAAGAGCUUGCUCUUACGGGUGGCGAGUGGCGGACGGGUGAGGAAUAAAUCGGAAUCUACUUUUUCGUGGGGGAUAACGUAGGGAAACUUACGCUAAUACCGCAUACGACCUACGGGUGAAAGCAGGGGAUCUUCGGACCUUGCGCGAUUGAAUGGGCCGAUGUCGGAUUAGCUAGUUGGCGGGGUAAAGGCCCACCAAGGCGACGAUCCGUAGCUGGUCUGAGAGGAUGAUCAGCCACACGGGAACUAGGACACGGCCCCACCCCCGACGGGAGGCACGGGUGGGAAUUUUUGGAGAGGGGGCGGAAGCCUGUUCCAGCCAUACCGCGUGGGUGAAGAAGGCCUUUGGGUUGUAAACCCCUUUUGUUGGGAAAUAAAAACGCCAGUUUAACACCCCGCUUUUUGACGUUUCCCCAAAAAAAAGCCCCGGCUAAACUCCUG
RNAcentral lists this ribosomal RNA (491 nucleotides) under uncultured bacterium. RNAcentral describes it as "partial 16S ribosomal RNA". It matches the Rfam family "Bacterial small subunit ribosomal RNA", at positions 29 to 507 of the family's 1533-position model. The record is from RNAcentral.